Molecule: ribosomal RNA, 411 nt
Filed under: Apocephalus apivorus
Lineage: Eukaryota; Metazoa; Arthropoda; Insecta; Diptera; Phoridae
Description: partial 16S ribosomal RNA
Rfam family: Bacterial large subunit ribosomal RNA
Source: RNAcentral
GUUUAUCAAAAACAUGUCUUUUAGAAUUAAAUUUAAAGUCUAGUCUGCCCACUGAAUUAAUUUAAAUGGCCGCAGUAUUUUAACUGUGCAAAGGUAGCAUAAUCAUUAGUCUUUUAAUUGAAGGCUGGAAUGAAUGGCUGGAUGAGAUAUUUACUGUUUCAUAAAAAUUUUUAGUAGAAUUUUAUUUUUUAGUUAAAAAGCUAAAAUGUGAUUAAAAGACGAGAAGACCCUAUAAAUCUUUGUAUUUUAUUGGGGUGAUAUUAAAAUUUAAAAAACUUUUAAUUUAUAAUUAACAUUAAUUAAUGAGUUAAUGAUCCAUAUAUUAUGAUNAAAAAANUAAGUUACUUUAGGGAUAACAGCGUAAUUUUUUUAGAGAGUUCUUAUUGAUAAAAAAGAUUGCGACCUCGAUGU